RNAcentral lists this small nuclear RNA (286 nucleotides) under Oryctolagus cuniculus (rabbit). Its description in RNAcentral is "7SK RNA". It matches the Rfam family "7SK RNA". From Rfam's summary of the family: 7SK was discovered as an abundant small nuclear RNA in the mid-70s but a possible function has only recently been suggested. The record is from Rfam by way of RNAcentral. Lineage: Eukaryota; Metazoa; Chordata; Mammalia; Lagomorpha; Leporidae.
AGCUGUGAGGACGAUCUGGCUGUGACACCUGUCAGCCCACUGAUCACCAGGGUUGAUUCAGCUGAUCAGGCUGGCUGAGUGGGUGUCCCCUCCUUCCUAACUGCUCCAUGUGCGUACCUCCUAAAGCCAUGUGCUUGGUAGAAGAAGAUGGGCUUCCCCACUAGAGGAGGACCAGUCUACUGUCAAGGGUAUACGAGUAGCUGCGCUCCCCUGCUAGAACCUCCCAACAAGCUCUUAAGACCAUAGCAGCCAUCUCAGGGAAACAGUUGAGAAUCCAACUCUAGUU